Tinamus guttatus (white-throated tinamou) is the source of this 413-nucleotide non-coding RNA. NCBI's taxonomy places the organism in Eukaryota, Metazoa, Chordata, Aves, Tinamiformes, Tinamidae. The record is from RefSeq and is a predicted model, not a curated record.
CAUGAAACUGUCUUUCAGGUUCAAAGAAGAAGAAAGCAGCCAAGCCUUUAAGUUUCAAAGUUGGCGUAGGAAAAGUUAUCAGAGGUUGGGAUGAAGCUCUCCUGACAAUGAGUAAAGGAGAGAAGGCUCAGCUGGAAAUUGAACCGGAAUGGGCUUAUGGCAAGAAAGGGCAGCCCGACGCUAAGAUACCACCAAAUGCCAAACUGUUCUUUGAAGUGGAAUUGGUGGAUAUUGAGUGAAAUGAAGCAUUUUCUCUGCUGCUGGGAAUCCAUUUUGAGCAAGAAAGCUUCCAACAACUGCAGUUCUGCUCUUGUAACUCCAGGAUAUAGUUACAACUGUGGCCUUUAUUGAAAUCAAGUUUUUUUUCCCCUCAACUGCUGUACAGUAAGAUCCCACUAAAGAAACAUAGUUUA